GUUAUUUCUGGGUUUGUGUACUUAUUCUUGUCAUGUUGUUUUUGCAGCAUCCAGAAAGUGUCAGAUUUUGAUUCAGUUAAGGCAAGGCUUAUUAGCACGACUUACCACGAAAAGAAAAAGAGAUGAGAUUAUUAGUAAAUCAGAGGAUCAAUAGAGAUAUGGUUACAGGCCAAGAUGGACUUCAGCUUAUGUCUCCACUCUCCACUGUGAAAUCCUCAGUUCUUGUGAACAGAACCUUGCAUCUUCAGCAUUAUAGGGUUUGUAUAAAGGGGAUUGUAGGAGCAACAGGAGGCAUCUAGUUCAGUAUCCAGGUGGGAAAGGGAAUGGAGAUUCACACUUCUCUAUGAGCCUAUCAUCAUCUUCUGGGGAUGUACAUCUGAGCUAAGCUACCUAAGUCGUCUGCUUCUUUGCUUUGAAUUCCCAAAUUAAAAAAGAAAAUAGGUUCUAGUGACUUCGCUUUGGUGGGAGAAUACUGGGAGGUGUUCAAGGCUAUAAGAUUUCAACAGUGAAGACCCAGAUCUAAUUAUUGGUAUGCUUGUUCAGCAUUGAGUGCUUUCAAAAUAAUUCAGGAAUGUAUUGUCCACUUUAUAUUGUUGUAUUUUCAUGGAAUUGUUUCUUAACCUACAAUAUCAGAGUCCUUUCAGUUGCAUUAUCUCAGUUUUUGUCACCCAAAAUCUGAUGUUGUAGAACCCUCAAUUUUCAGUAUAAAUUAAGUUUAUUUGUGUUUGAUUUAUGCAAAUCCAACUUCUGAUGGAGGGUAUAACCAAGCGGGUCAAGAUAUUGGCUGUAAUAGUCUUUGUGUGAGUUUCUUUUGUCAGAUCUUCCACUCCGCCAAAAAAAUAAUAACUAUUUGGACUGUAAUCAAUGAGCAAUUUGGUGAAAGUUUUCAAUGUGUUUAAUUAUGUGUGCUUGUUCAGAUUGCAUUGAUUACAAUGGCAUUUUGUCAAGUAAGUCAC
This is a long non-coding RNA of Quercus lobata, 956 nucleotides long. RefSeq lists it as uncharacterized. The transcript has 3 exons. The record is from RefSeq and is a predicted model, not a curated record. NCBI's taxonomy places the organism in Eukaryota, Viridiplantae, Streptophyta, Magnoliopsida, Fagales, Fagaceae.